UUUCAAUGCUCCACUUCAUUCAUUCCUUGACAUUCACUCCACAUGCAAUGAGUUACAUAGUUGUGUACCUGGAAUCGAAAUGGAAAUAGGGUAGAAGAGAUCAGUUACAGCAGCAGCCAAUAGCAACAAUAACACCCAGCAACACAAGGAUGAUUUCCAGAGAUUUUAACUGAAACACACAUCAACAACAAUAACUUUCAAGCAGACUCCAAAUGACAGCCCAGGAAAAUUCACCAGCUAAUGAAUGCCUCAAAACAACACCAGACUCGACAGAUCUGCCCCAGACAAUACUAAAAAUGACCAGAAUCCAACCAAACAAGCUCAAGCAACCCAAAUUCACUCCAAAAUGAAUCCAAACCAAGAAGAAUAUACCAGCAACCAAUGGAACAGUGUUCCUUGUAGCCUUUUUUUGGUUUUUCAGAGAUUUUUCUACUGUUUUUGAGUUUUUACUCUUUUUUGUUUCUUUUUUUUUUUGGAAAUCAAAGGCUAAAAAAAUAACUAGAAUGCAAGAGUAUUUAUGAACUAAUGAUCUAAACAAUGGCUAAAAAUAUGGCUGAAAGAAGACCCUUUUUACAAGGCAUCUAAUGCCUUUUUGUAGAAGUAAAGUAGGGCAGCCCUCUCAAAUUUUUGUUUUCAGUAUUACUCCCUAUUCAUUUUUCACUUUAACUCCCCAUUUUCUGAUUUGUUUCCCAAGUAACUACCUUAAUUUUAUUGAAAGCUACACUACAGCCCUAUUCUAGGAGCUUCUAUGAGGUUUUUUGAGCUGUACAAUUCCUAGACUACCCUUAACCCUUCCUUUCAAUUACUGAUUCUCAAUAUUCUACCCUUUCUCAUGCCCAAAUUGCCCCCAUUACCAUCUGAAAAUUACAAACCUUAAUUAACUUAAACCAAACCCUUUUUACCCUUAUUAAUUAACUAAAGUUAUCUACUAAAGAAUUAAACAUCUAUAUCCAAACUUGAAUCUAAUUAAACAUUUGCUAGUCAACACUAAUUUUCACUAAUUAAAUUGCCAACUAACAAAUCAAAUUACAAAUUGCAGUUAACAUCAAAUUAAUUCCAAAAGAACCAACAGGCGAAAGAAAAUCAACAAGAAAGAACCCUAAAUUUUCUGGAGUAACGACAAUCUAAUCUGGAUACUAGCUAAGCUAAGAAACUCACGCAAAUAAACCAAUCGAUCGACCAUUAAGGCCUCAUCAAAAGUCAAGAAAAAGACAAAACCCAAUUAAACUUAUUCUAAAUCAAAUCAGAAUUUAACAGAAGAAAUGAAGAAUCAACCUAAAACUAAAAUAACAUAGAUAAUUACCACAAUGAGAUUAAAACUAAAUAGAACUGCAGAGGUAACCUAUGCAAUAUGGAUGGAAAGGAAUACCAGGCUGUUCAACAACACAGCAAGAUGCAACUCCAACAUUCUGAGAGAGAUAGUAUAUAUAUGUAAUCUAAGAGGCACUCCACGAAUUAGACAAUACCUAGAACACCUUCAUAUAUAGAAAACGAAGCAAGAGGCACUCCACGAAUUAGAUAAUACCUAGAACACCUUCAUAUAUAGAAAAUGAAGACAGUGUAGUCCCAUUUUGUAGAGCAGUUUUUGAGUGAUGCCUUAAGAUAGUCAGCUUCGAGAAUAGCUAGACUACGAUUUUGUAAUGAUUUCCACUUUGGUGAUUAAUAAAUACUCUUAAUUACCAAAAAAAAAAAUUAGUUUAGGAGAUUUACAUAUAUUUUUCAUGUAGAAGUGAAUCACAUUGGUAAUUAAUACAUACUCUUAAUUACCAAAAAAAAACUAAAUAGAACUGAAUUUAUGCAUGAUUUAAACGAACAAGAAAAGAAGAAUCGAAUUAGAAAACUUACCGAAAUCAGACAUCAUAUAACCCUUUCAAAAUUGAUUUUCAGUUAAUAUUACAUGCUUAUUUCGCCAUACGAUGUUCGUAUGUUUGAGGAGGGUAUUACCAAUUCUACGGUGCGCGCAGGGGGGAUGACCCAUUUUAUUGAAGUUCCCUCAGAUUUGAACUUACUGACCGAAGGAAAUAGCUUGUUGUCGCUGUUUGAAUUGUUGGGUUUGGAGGCUGAGAACGCGUCUUUGAGGAGCAUUUCAGAUAUUGAAGUGAUGGAUGAAGUGUUUGUGAUGGGCCUGAGGGUACGUAGUAUGCUCCUAGUUCAUUUUUUUGUCUUAGCAUGGGCCUUAGCUAUAACUUCUUUUUGUUUUGC
Molecule: long non-coding RNA, 2202 nt
Filed under: Nicotiana benthamiana
Lineage: Eukaryota; Viridiplantae; Streptophyta; Magnoliopsida; Solanales; Solanaceae
Description: long non-coding RNA (NBEN_LNC026319)
Source: RNAcentral